ACUAAGUUUCAACAACGGAUCUCUUGGCUCUCGCAUCGAUGAAGAACGCAGCGAAAAUGCGAUAAGUAAUGUGAAUUGCAGAAUUCAGUGAAUCAUUCGAAUCUUUGAACGCACCUUGCGCUCCUUGGUAUUCCUUGGAAGCAUGCCUGUUUGAGUAUCAUGAAAU
This 166-nucleotide ribosomal RNA is filed under the name Rhizoctonia sp. AG-G. Its description in RNAcentral is "5.8S ribosomal RNA". It matches the Rfam family "5.8S ribosomal RNA". From Rfam's summary of the family: 5.8S ribosomal RNA (5.8S rRNA) is a component of the large subunit of the eukaryotic ribosome. Lineage: Eukaryota; Fungi; Basidiomycota; Agaricomycetes; Cantharellales; Ceratobasidiaceae. The record is from RNAcentral.